CAGGGGCGGCCUACCAUGCAGUCGAGCGGAACGAGUUAUCUGAACCUUCGGGGAACGAUAACGGCGUCGAGCGGCGGACGGGUGAGUAAUGCCUAGGAAAUUGCCCUGAUGUGGGGGAUAACCAUUGGAAACGAUGGCUAAUACCGCAUGAUGCCUACGGGCCAAAGAGGGGGACCUUCGGGCCUCUCGCGUCAGGAUAUGCCUAGGUGGGAUUAGCUAGUUGGUGAGGUAAGGGCUCACCAAGGCGACGAUCCCUAGCUGGUCUGAGAGGAUGAUCAGCCACACUGGAACUGAGACACGGUCCAGACUCCUACGGGAGGCAGCAGUGGGGAAUAUUGCACAAUGGGCGCAAGCCUGAUGCAGCCAUGCCGCGUGUGUGAAGAAGGCCUUCGGGUUGUAAAGCACUUUCAGUCGUGAGGAAGGCGGCGUCGUUAAUAGCUGCAUUAUUUGACGUUAGCGACAGAAGAAGCACCGGCUAACUCCGUGCCAGCAGCCGCGGUAAUACGGAGGGUGCGAGCGUUAAUCGGAAUUACUGGGCGUAAAGCGCAUGCAGGUGGUUUGUUAAGUCAGAUGUGAAAGCCCGGGGCUCAACCUCGGAAUAGCAUUUGAAACUGGCAGACUAGAGUACUGUAGAGGGGGGUAGAAUUUCAGGUGUAGCGGUGAAAUGCGUAGAGAUCUGAAGGAAUACCGGUGGCGAAGGCGGCCCCCUGGACAGAUACUGACACUCAGAUGCGAAAGCGUGGGGAGCAAACAGGAUUAGAUACCCUGGUAGUCCACGCCGUAAACGAUGUCUACUUGGAGGUUGUGGCCUUGAGCCGUGGCUUUCGGAGCUAACGCGUUAAGUAGACCGCCUGGGGAGUACGGUCGCAAGAUUAAAACUCAAAUGAAUUGACGGGGGCCCGCACAAGCGGUGGAGCAUGUGGUUUAAUUCGAUGCAACGCGAAGAACCCUUACCUACUCUUGACAUCCAGAGAACUUUCCAGAGAUGGGAUUGGUGCCUUUCGGGAACUCUGAGACAGUGCUGCAUGGCUGUCGUCAGCUCGUGUUGUGAAAUGUUGGGUAAGUCCCGCACGAGCGCACCUUAUCCUGUUGCCAGCGAGUUAUGUCGGGACUCAGGAGACUGCCGGUGGAUAACCGGAAGAAGGGUGGGGAACGAACU
Molecule: ribosomal RNA, 1159 nt
Filed under: Vibrio alginolyticus
Lineage: Bacteria; Pseudomonadati; Pseudomonadota; Gammaproteobacteria; Vibrionales; Vibrionaceae
Description: bacterial SSU rRNA
Rfam family: Bacterial small subunit ribosomal RNA
Source: RNAcentral